CAGCAGCACCAACAGCAAAGCCGGCAAGUAGGCCAAAGCCAGACUUUCACGGACGAAGGCCUGCUAGAAGAUAUGGUUCCUCCUGGUAUGCGGAAAUGAAAAUUGGAAACUUACCUCGAUAGCAGGACCAUCUCGAAGCAGCCAGGAGGUCGGUGUUUAAGUCUGGCCAAGCGAAGAAAGGUCCAGUUUUGCGCGUUCUACUGCAGCACCGAAAGGAGAAAAAGAAACGUACACAUGAAUUAGCAAAUAACUUCCACGGCCCAGCGCAUUUUGAGACAAGGUACCUGGUUCUGGGCCGCUACUAACACCUUCAGAUGGAGCUCUUGUCACAAGGCACCAUUUUUUUUUUGCUCGACGAUCCAAGAGGCUUAAACAUUUC
RNAcentral lists this long non-coding RNA (379 nucleotides) under Selaginella moellendorffii. RNAcentral describes it as "long non-coding RNA (SMOE_LNC002429)". Lineage: Eukaryota; Viridiplantae; Streptophyta; Lycopodiopsida; Selaginellales; Selaginellaceae. The record is from RNAcentral.